This 571-nucleotide long non-coding RNA is filed under the name Trifolium pratense (red clover). RNAcentral's name for it is "long non-coding RNA (TPRA_LNC012812)". The record is from RNAcentral. Lineage: Eukaryota; Viridiplantae; Streptophyta; Magnoliopsida; Fabales; Fabaceae.
AUUCAAGUCAUGAUGAGCCCAACCUUCAUCGCAACAAGCUCAAUGUGGAAUGUGGUCAUUCAGGUCAUGUUGAGCUCACCUAGUUCAACUAUGUAAGUCAUUGGAACCUCAUUUUGGCCUACCACACGUCUUGUACGAAGGAACAUAGUGACGUGAGCCACACAUUAACUCAGUUCCACGUUAUCUGCACGAAUGAGUGACAUGGGUUACGUGUGCCUCAACCCCAGGUGUCCUUUACGGGCGAGCUGCAUGCAAAUAUUAAAGUCAUAGCUUAUUGGAUCUAGACAUCCAAAUGCGAGGAAAGAUCCAAUAAAUCAAUGAAUGAUGGACUAUAAAAGGAGACACGUAAGAGGAAAAAAAGGACAUAUCCAUGAUAUUGUAAACGGUGUAUUCAAUCCUAGUCAUUGUUAAAAUGCUCUUAAAAUCUAUUAAAACAUUACAGAGUUCACUCAUGGUUAUUACAUACGUGAACACCUUCAUAUUUGACAUGAAUUGAUGCAAGAUAUUUUCUUAUUCUACAUAUAUCUGAUUUCUGUUCAUUGGACAGCAUAAAUAAAUUCUCAGAGUGCAC